This 468-nucleotide ribosomal RNA is filed under the name uncultured bacterium. RNAcentral's name for it is "partial 16S ribosomal RNA". It matches the Rfam family "Bacterial small subunit ribosomal RNA", at positions 28 to 507 of the family's 1533-position model. The record is from RNAcentral.
GACGAUCGCUGGUGGCGCGCUUAACACAUGCAAGUCGAACGGAAAGGCCCUGCUUUUGUGGGGUGCUCGAGUGGCGAACGGGUGAGUAACACGUGAGUAACCUGCCCUUGCCUUUGGGAUUACUUCAGGAAACUGGGGCUAAUACCGGAUAGGCGCUCCUGCUGCAUGGUGGGGGUUGGAAAGUUUCGGCGGUUGGGGAUGGACUCGCGGCUUAUCAGCUUGUUGGUGGGGUAGUGGCUUACCAAGGCUUUGACGGGUAGCCGGCCUGAGAGGGUGACCGGCCACAUUGGGACUGAGAUACGGCCCAGACUCCUACGGGAGGCAGCAGUGGGGAAUUUUGCACAAUGGGCGGAAGCCUGAUGCAGCAACGCCGCGUGCGGGAUGACGGCCUUCGGGUUGUAAACCGCUUUCGCCUGUGACGAAGCGUGAGUGACGUGAAUGGGUAAAGAAGCACCGGCUAACUACGUG